This 74-nucleotide transfer RNA is filed under the name Klebsiella pneumoniae. RNAcentral describes it as "tRNA-Gly". It matches the Rfam family "tRNA". From Rfam's summary of the family: Transfer RNA (tRNA) molecules are approximately 80 nucleotides in length. Their secondary structure includes four short double-helical elements and three loops (D, anti-codon, and T loops). Further hydrogen bonds mediate the characteristic L-shaped molecular structure. tRNAs have two regions of fundamental functional importance: the anti-codon, which is responsible for specific mRNA codon recognition, and the 3' end, to which the tRNAs corresponding amino acid is attached (by aminoacyl-tRNA synthetases). tRNAs cope with the degeneracy of the genetic code in two manners: having more than one tRNA (with a specific anti-codon) for a particular amino acid; and 'wobble' base-pairing, i.e. permitting non-standard base-pairing at the 3rd anti-codon position. Lineage: Bacteria; Pseudomonadati; Pseudomonadota; Gammaproteobacteria; Enterobacterales; Enterobacteriaceae. The record is from RNAcentral.
GCGGGCAUCGUAUAAUGGCUAUUACCUCAGCCUUCCAAGCUGAUGAUGCGGGUUCGUACUCCGUGCCCGCUCCA